This 775-nucleotide ribosomal RNA is filed under the name uncultured Neocallimastigales. Its description in RNAcentral is "partial large subunit ribosomal RNA". It matches the Rfam family "Eukaryotic large subunit ribosomal RNA", at positions 20 to 628 of the family's 3401-position model. The record is from RNAcentral. Lineage: Eukaryota; Fungi; Neocallimastigomycota; Neocallimastigomycetes; Neocallimastigales.
UACUAGAGUAGCACUCGCAUAUCAAUAAGCGGAGGAAAAGAAACUAACAAGGAUUCCCCUAGUAACGGCUAGUGAAGCGGGAAGAGCUCAAAUUUGAAAUCUUAAAGGGUUUCCCUUUACGAAUUGUAGUUUAAAGAAGUGUUUUCUGUUGAGGUUUUGGUAAAAGUUCUUUGGAAUAGGACAUCAUAGAGGGUGAGAAUCCCGUAUUUGACCUUUACUUUCAACUUUGUGAUACACUUUCAAAGAGUCGGAUUGUUUGGGAAUGCAGUCCAAAAUGGGUGGUAAAUUUCAUCUAAAGCUAAAUAUUGGCGAGAGACCGAUAGCGAACAAGUACCGUGAGGGGAAGAUGAAAAGAACUUUGAAAAGAGAGUUAAACAGUACGUGAAAUUGUCAAAAGGGAAGCGUUUGACACCAGUGUUGUUUUUCUGAAAAUCAAUUAAAGAACUGUUUAUGCUAAGCUGUUUAGACUUUAUCAGCUAUCUGUUUAGUUUUCGAGCUUUUCUUUAAUGCACUUUUCAGUUAACAAGUCAACAUCAAUUUCUUUUGCUGUAAAAAAGCUUGAGGAAGGUGGCUUGAGAUUCGUCUUAAGUGUUUAUAGCCUCUUGCCUAUGCAGUCGGAGAGAUUGAGGUCUGCAGCGUAGAUCCUUCGGGGCUAAAUGCAUUUGUGCUAAGUUAUAGCAUUUUAUAGACAACUUGUUGACUAUGAUUUGUCUUGUAGCUUACUCGCUUAUGUUAUUUUACCUACGCUUAGGAUGUUGAACUCUAUCACACACAG